GCGGGGGUAUCCAAGUUUGGAUAAGGAGCUUGCCUUGGAAGCAAGCGGUCGUGGACCUCGCGGGCUCAAAUCCCGCCCCCCGCG
Molecule: transfer RNA, 84 nt
Filed under: Candidatus Bathyarchaeota archaeon
Lineage: Archaea; Thermoproteati; Candidatus Bathyarchaeota
Description: tRNA-Pro
Rfam family: tRNA
About the family: Transfer RNA (tRNA) molecules are approximately 80 nucleotides in length. Their secondary structure includes four short double-helical elements and three loops (D, anti-codon, and T loops). Further hydrogen bonds mediate the characteristic L-shaped molecular structure. tRNAs have two regions of fundamental functional importance: the anti-codon, which is responsible for specific mRNA codon recognition, and the 3' end, to which the tRNAs corresponding amino acid is attached (by aminoacyl-tRNA synthetases). tRNAs cope with the degeneracy of the genetic code in two manners: having more than one tRNA (with a specific anti-codon) for a particular amino acid; and 'wobble' base-pairing, i.e. permitting non-standard base-pairing at the 3rd anti-codon position.
Source: RNAcentral